Molecule: ribosomal RNA, 440 nt
Filed under: uncultured bacterium
Lineage: Bacteria
Description: partial 16S ribosomal RNA
Rfam family: Bacterial small subunit ribosomal RNA
Source: RNAcentral
CCUACGGGCGGCAGCAGUAGGGAAUAUUGCUCAAUGGGGGAAACCCUGAAGCAGCAACGCCGCGUGGAGGAUGAAGGUUUUCGGAUUGUAAACUCCCUUUGUUAGAGAAGAUAAUGACGGUAUCUAACGAAUAAGCACCGGCCAACUCCGUGCCAGCAGCCGCGGUAAUACGGUGGGUGCAAGCGUUACUCGGAAUCACUGGGCGUAAAGAGCGCGUUGGCGGGAUAGGAAGUCAGAUGUGAAAUCCUAUGGCUUAACCAUAGAACUGCAUUUGAAACUGUUAUUCUAGAGUGUGGGAGAGGUAGGUGGAAUUCUUGGUGUAGGGGUGAAAUCCGUAGAGAUCAAGAGGAAUACUCAUUGCGAAGGCGACCUGCUAGAACGUAACUGACGCUGAUGCGCGAAAGCGUGGGGAGCAAACAGGAUUAGAUACCCUGGUAGUC